CAGGAGGACAGUGCGCGUGUCUCCCGACGGCGCAGGGAUAUUAAACAAAUAUAUUUACUCCGCUUGUUGUUCGCUUACCUCUCGGUCAUGGUGAACUUGUUCUCGGACGGUCACGUGCGCAGGUCUCCGCGAGCGUAGAGAGGGGACGACGACUUCUCACCUGGUGUGUCCCCUUUGACUUUUACCGGGAGGGAAUAAAACAUACCUGCCAUUUUUUUUUAUGUGAGCCGACAUCGCUGGACUCAUACCUCACCCUUUGACGAACAACAACAACAGCAAGUUUUCUCCCUCAGGGAUGAAAUAUGCUCACUCUGUGCCCGUAGAAAAAAGAAGACAACAAGCAGCGUGAGGCACAAAGUGGUUUUAAAUCAUGAUGAUGCAGGAGUCGGCCACAGAGACAAUAAGCAACAGUUCAAUGAGUCAAAAUGGAAUGAGCACCCUAAGCAGCAGCCAAUUAGAGGCUGGCAGUAGAGAUGGGAGAUCAAGCGCUGGUGACACAAGCAGCGAAGUAAGCACAGUCGAGCUGCUGCAUCUGCAACAACAGCAGGUAAGUUGUGUUUCUCCCCCCGUCUCGUCUCUGCCGCUCUCUCUCGCUCUCUCUGCUCUGC
Molecule: long non-coding RNA, 608 nt
Organism: Nematolebias whitei (Rio pearlfish)
Lineage: Eukaryota; Metazoa; Chordata; Actinopteri; Cyprinodontiformes; Rivulidae
Exons: 4
Source: RefSeq, a predicted model, not a curated record